UUAGAGUUUGAUCCUGGCUCAGGAUGAACGCUAGCGACAGGCCUAACACAUGCAAGUCGAGGGGUAACAGGGGCUUCGGCCCGCUGACGACCGGCGCACGGGUGAGUAACGCGUAUGCAACCUGCCUGUAACAGCGGGAUAGCUCCCUGAAAGGGGAAUUAACACCGCAUAAGACCACGCUCUCGCAUGGGGACGGGGUAAAAUAUUUAUAGGUUACAGAUGGGCAUGCGUGACAUUAGUUAGUUGGUGAGGUAACGGCUCACCAAGACUGCGAUGUCUAGGGGUUCUGAGAGGAAGGUCCCCCACACUGGAACUGAGACACGGUCCAGACUCCUACGGGAGGCAGCAGUGAGGAAUAUUGGUCAAUGGACGCAAGUCUGAACCAGCCAUGUCGCGUGCAGGAUGACUGCCCUAUGGGUUGUAAACUGCUUUUAUAUUGGAAGAAUUGCGCUUACGAGUUAAGCGUUUGACGGUACAUUAUGAAUAAGGAUCGGCUAACUCCGUGCCAGCAGCCGCGGUAAUACGGAGGAUCCGAGCGUUAUCCGGAAUUAUUGGGUUUAAAGGGUGCGUAGGCGGCCAUUUAAGUCAGCGGUGAAAUUUUGCAGCUUAACUGUAACAGUGCCGUUGAUACUGUUUGGCUAGGAUUUGGUUGUAGUGCGCGGAAUGUGUGGUGUAGCGGUGAAAUGCUUAGAUAUCACACAGAACACCGAUUGCGAAGGCAGCACACUAAGUCAUUAUUGACGCUGAGGCACGAAAGUGUGGGGAUCAAACAGGAUUAGAUACCCUGGUAGUCCACACCGUAAACGAUGAUAACUCGCUGUCGGCGAUACACAGUCGGUGGCCAAGCGAAAGCAUUAAGUUAUCCACCUGGGGAGUACGACCGCAAGGUUGAAACUCAAAGGAAUUGACGGGGGCCCGCACAAGCGGAGGAACAUGUGGUUUAAUUUGAUGAUACGCGAGGAACCUUACCCGGGCUCGAACGGUGCAUGAAUAUACGAAAGAUUGUAUAGUCCUUCGGGACAUGUAUCGAGGUGCUGCAUGGUUGUCGUCAGCUCGUGCCGUGAGGUGUCGGCUUAAGUGCCAUACCGAGCGCGGCCCUCGUCCUUUGUUGCCCUCCGGUCGCGCUGGGGGCUUUUUUGUGGCUGCCCCCCUCCGGUGUGGGGGGGGGGGGGGGGGCGU
RNAcentral lists this ribosomal RNA (1179 nucleotides) under uncultured bacterium. Its description in RNAcentral is "bacterial SSU rRNA". It matches the Rfam family "Bacterial small subunit ribosomal RNA", at positions 1 to 1185 of the family's 1533-position model. The record is from RNAcentral.